GACGAACGCUGGCGGCGUGCUUAACACAUGCAAGUCGAACGCUGAAGCACCAGCUUGCUGGUGUGGAUGAGUGGCGAACGGGUGAGUAAUACGUGAGUAACCUGCCCUUGACUCUGGGAUAAGCCCGGGAAACUGGGUCUAAUACUGGAUGCUACAUGUCACCGCAUGGUGGUGUGUGGAAAGGGUUUACUGGUCUUGGAUGGGCUCACGGCCUAUCAGCUUGUUGGUGAGGUAAUGGCUCACCAAGGCGACGACGGGUAGCCGGCCUGAGAGGGUGACCGGCCACACUGGGACUGAGACACGGCCCAGACUCCUACGGGAGGCAGCAGUGGGGAAUAUUGCACAAUGGGCGAAAGCCUGAUGCAGCGACGCCGCGUGAGGGAUGACGGCCUUCGGGUUGUAAACCUCUUUCAGCAGGGAAGAAGCCACAAGUGACGGUACCUGCAGAAGAAGCGCCGGCCAACUACGUG
RNAcentral lists this ribosomal RNA (470 nucleotides) under uncultured bacterium. RNAcentral describes it as "partial 16S ribosomal RNA". It matches the Rfam family "Bacterial small subunit ribosomal RNA", at positions 28 to 507 of the family's 1533-position model. The record is from RNAcentral.